ACGCCUCUCUGGGUGUUUUCUUUCCUGUUUGCUGAACUUCGUGGAGUGGAGCUUGUUGUUGGUGUGUGUGAAGAAACUUGUAACAAGUGUCACCUGGCAGUUUGUUGCUCUCUGCCAGGUGAUUGGCUGAAGAGCUGUGAAAAGGUAGUGGGUGUGUGGGGUGAAGUCAGCGCUCUUCUGUCAGGCAAUUAAUUCACUCGGGUGCGAGUGGGUAUACUGUCGUGUGACCACGAAUUUUAAUAGAAGAAUUGAUCAAGCCCUAGAUCGACUGCGCGCAGGGAAUCUGAUCAGUAUUAUCGUAGGCCAUGCAUAGUGCUGAUUCCCAGCUGCGCUGAGACCCGAAUUGUUUGCAGUGUCGCUAAGCGGGGUGUGACGGGUUGCAGUGUUGUUAUUUUCGCACCGUUUGUGUGGUGAAGGUAGAAAGUGUGUGUGAGCUGAUGUGAAUUGAGCAGCAUGGAU
Long non-coding RNA from Oreochromis niloticus (Nile tilapia), 459 nucleotides. RefSeq lists it as uncharacterized. NCBI's taxonomy places the organism in Eukaryota, Metazoa, Chordata, Actinopteri, Cichliformes, Cichlidae. The transcript has 4 exons. The record is from RefSeq and is a predicted model, not a curated record.